This 253-nucleotide ribosomal RNA is filed under the name uncultured prokaryote. Its description in RNAcentral is "partial 16S ribosomal RNA". It matches the Rfam family "Bacterial small subunit ribosomal RNA", at positions 524 to 776 of the family's 1533-position model. The record is from RNAcentral.
UACGUAGGCAGCAAGCGUUGUUCGGAGUUACUGGGCGCAAAGAGUGCGUAGGCGGUUUUCUAAGUUUGGUGUGAAAUCUCCCGGCUUAACUGGGAGGGUGCGCCGAAAACUGGAAGGCUCGCGGAUGGGAGAGGCAUGCGGAAUUCCUGGUGUAGCGGUGAAAUGCGUAGAUAUCAGGAGGAACACCUGCGGUGUAGACAGCAUGCUGGACCAUUUCUGACGCUGAGGCACGAAAGCGUGGGUAGCAAACAGG